GAUGAACGCUGGCGGCGUGCCUAAUACAUGCAAGUCGAGCGAACAGACGAGGAGCUUGCUCCUCUGACGUUAGCGGCGGACGGGUGAGUAACACGUGGAUAACCUACCUAUAAGACUGGGAUAACUUCGGGAAACCGGAGCUAAUACCGGAUAAUAUAUUGAACCGCAUGGUUCAAUAGUGAAAGACGGUUUUGCUGUCACUUAUAGAUGGAUCCGCGCCGCAUUAGCUAGUUGGUAAGGUAACGGCUUACCAAGGCAACGAUGCGUAGCCGACCUGAGAGGGUUCGGGGACACAGGGAAACAGACACGCGCUCGAGUCCCCUGGGGGGGGCAGAAUGGGGAAAUUUUCCGAAGGGCGCAAGACCGUCGGAGAAAAGCGCCGCGAGAGAUGUAAGGCUCUUGGUAUCAAAAAUCUCUUUUAUUGGAAAAAAACAAGUGUAAAAGAAAAUGCGCGUGUUGAGGGGGUACCAAAAGAGAGAGCCGGGUCAAACCACG
RNAcentral lists this ribosomal RNA (495 nucleotides) under uncultured bacterium. Its description in RNAcentral is "partial 16S ribosomal RNA". It matches the Rfam family "Bacterial small subunit ribosomal RNA", at positions 28 to 505 of the family's 1533-position model. The record is from RNAcentral.